CAGAGGGUGCAAGCGUUAAUCGGAAUUACUGGGCGUAAAGCGAGCGUAGGUGGCUUGAUAAGUCAGAUGUGAAAGCCCCGGGCUUAACCUGGGAACGGCAUCUGAUACUGUUAGGCUAGAGUAGGUGAGAGGAAGGUAGAAUUCCAGGUGUAGCGGUGAAAUGCGUAGAGAUCUGGAGGAAUACCGAUGGCGAAGGCAGCCUUCUGGCAUCAUACUGACACUGAGGUUCGAAGCGUGGGUAGCAAACAGGAUU
RNAcentral lists this ribosomal RNA (253 nucleotides) under uncultured bacterium. Its description in RNAcentral is "partial 16S ribosomal RNA". It matches the Rfam family "Bacterial small subunit ribosomal RNA", at positions 526 to 779 of the family's 1533-position model. The record is from RNAcentral.